GGAGGAUUUCCCGAGUGGCCAAAGGGGGCAGACUGUAAAUCUGUUAGCAUCGCUUUCCGUGGUUCGAAUCCACGAUCCUCCACCA
This 85-nucleotide transfer RNA is filed under the name Clostridioides sp. RNAcentral describes it as "tRNA-Tyr". It matches the Rfam family "tRNA". Rfam says of the family: Transfer RNA (tRNA) molecules are approximately 80 nucleotides in length. Lineage: Bacteria; Bacillati; Bacillota; Clostridia; Peptostreptococcales; Peptostreptococcaceae. The record is from RNAcentral.